GCGCACGCAGGCGGUUUGUUAAGCUAGAUGUGAAAGCCCCGGGCUCAACCUGGGAUGGUCAUUUAGAACUGGCAGACUAGAGUCUUGGAGAGGGGAGUGGAAUUCCAGGUGUAGCGGUGAAAUGCGUAGAUAUCUGGAGGAACAUCAGUGGCGAAGGCGACUCCCUGGCCAAAGACUGACGCUCAUGUGCGAAAGUGUGGGUAGCGAACAGGAUUAGAUACCCUGGUAGUCCACACCGUAAACGCUGUCUACUAGCUGUGUGUGGCUUUAAGGCGUGAGUAGCGAAGCUAACGCGAUAAGUAGACCGCCUGGGGAGUACGGCCGCAAGGUUAAAACUC
RNAcentral lists this ribosomal RNA (338 nucleotides) under uncultured bacterium. RNAcentral describes it as "bacterial SSU rRNA". It matches the Rfam family "Bacterial small subunit ribosomal RNA", at positions 565 to 902 of the family's 1533-position model. The record is from RNAcentral.